CCCGCUCCGACCCUCCCCCCCCCGCCUCCCCAUGAUCGGCUCCUGCGGCUGCAACUUGUCCGCGCUCACCCUCUCCGUGAGAUCCUGCACCUGAUAACCAUACAUGCUGCCUCCUCCUCCUGCAUCUUGUCACCUGCUCCCUUCCACGGCUAUUCGGCUCCCGCUGCCUCCCCCCCCUCCUGUAUCCCGUCAUCAGCCUCCCCCCCAAGGCAAUUGGGCUCCCACUGCCCCCCCCCCCCCCCCCCCGCAAUUGGGCUCUCGCUGCCCCCCCUCCCUCCUGCAUCUUGUUACUAGCAGCUCCUCUUCGCCCCGCGAUUCGGCUCCCACAUGUUGUCACUAGAUACCCCCCCCCCUGCAUCUUGUCACUAGAUUCUCUCACCCCAACCCCCCCCCCCCCCCCUGCAAUUCGGCUCCCACGUGUUGCAUCCCCCCCCCCUCCUGCAUCUUGUUACUAGAUUCCCCCCCAAUUGGGCUCCCACAUGUUGCCUUCCCCCCCAUCCUCCUUUAUCUUGUUACCAGCUCCCCUCCUCGAUCAGUAUCCCACAUGUCAGGAGCACCCGCAUAAUUUUUCCCUCUUCCUCCUGGUGCGUUUGGUUUCCCAACAUGUUACCCGAUCCCCCUGCAACUGGGCUCGGCUCCCGCGUCUAAUUACCUGAUCCCCCCCUACCCCCACGAUUGGGCCCCCGCUUGUUUCCCACUCUCCCACCCACGAUUGGGCUCCUGCAUGUUACCCGGUGCCAGCGCAACCAUUAGGCAGCUGCCUAUGAGUGCCGAGUGUACAAAAAAAAAAGUGAGGCACCCGCGGCGCUCUCUGCUCAUCCGGGUUGGAGCCACAUGUCCGACGCUGAUCCCUCCUCCCCCUGCUGCAUCACGCACCCCGCCCUAAAGACAGGGGUGUGCCAUGAGUCCCCCCCGACUCACGGCAUGCCUCCAUUUACAUGGCGACAUGCACACAGGGGAAGCGGAGGCGUGGACUCGCGCACUCCUCCAUUUCUAUUGAGAUGAGAGGGGAGGCUGGUGAGCAGGCAGACCAGAGAGGGACCGCUCCUGAUUGGCUGCCGGUCCACGGCAGAUUUUAAAUAGUAGCGCCACGGUCAACAUAGGAGCCAGUGCCGCACCAAAGGCCGCCGACCACAGCCUCCUCUUACGUUGCACAACCGCUGCCCUCAGUCCUCCUCUGCCGCCCUCAGUCCUUCUCUGCACCUCCACAACAUCUCCAAAGACCACGGCCUCCUCCUACGUUUCACCACCGCUGCCCUCAGUCCUCCUCUGCACCUCCGCAACAUCUCCAAAGACCACAGCCUCCUCCUACGUUGCACCACCGCUGCCCUCAGUCCUCCUCUGCACCUCCGCAACAUCUCCAAAGACCACAGCCUCCUCCGCCCCGCGCGGACCACAGCCUCCUCAUACACCGCAGCUGCUAAAUAGGUGCUAAAAGAAUUGGAACAAAGUCAUGUUUGUAGCACAAGAAUUAUGUCCAGUGGUCUGUCUCACACAGCCCGCAGCUGGCGGGACCCCUGUUUACAGAUCAGUUUUUCCUUCAGAGUAACACAAAGUGAUGCCUGGGGCUACUAACUGGUGAGCAAGCCACGUAAAGCUGCCCAUGGGAGAAGCAGCUGGUCCUGAGAUCUACACCUGCAGCCCUGAGCGUUUACCCCUGCGACUUGUUCAUCAUAAGGAGUAUAAGUGGCACCCCUUGGGGAUGAGGGGUAUAUGUGGUAUAAACACAGUAUCACCUGCACCAUAUACCAUUAUAAUCUCUGCCUCAAUCAGGUUCCUCUGCAGAGCAGUCACUGUAAGUCGGGUUCCGUUGCAAAACUUGGGCGGAGUCAAGUUCCGCAGAAGAAGGAUCGAAACACCAACAAUCACUGAGCCGAAUGUCAAGUGUCAGUUUUUUCUUUUAUUGCUCCACUCCCCGAUGUCACGUUGAGACAGUGACGUGCGGUGGGGUGAGGCAGAGCCUUCCCUGUCAUACUUACGUUUAAACCAGAGUUUUGACUGAAUAAAGGAUAUGAAAAAUACUAAUAA
Pseudophryne corroboree (corroboree frog) is the source of this 2028-nucleotide long non-coding RNA. RefSeq lists it as uncharacterized. Lineage: Eukaryota; Metazoa; Chordata; Amphibia; Anura; Myobatrachidae. The record is from RefSeq and is a predicted model, not a curated record. The transcript is spliced from 3 exons.